UACGAAGGGUGCAAGCGUUACUCGGAAUUACUGGGCGUAAAGCGUGCGUAGGUGGUUCGUUAAGUCUGCCGUGAAAGCCCCGGGCUCAACCUGGGAAUGGCGGUGGAUACUGGCGGACUAGAGUGCGGUAGAGGGUGGUGGAAUUCCCGGUGUAGCAGUGAAAUGCGUAGAGAUCGGGAGGAACGCCGGUGGCGAAAGCGGCGUGCUGGACCUCUUCUGACGCUGAGGCGCGAAAGCCAGGGGAGCGAACGGG
RNAcentral lists this ribosomal RNA (253 nucleotides) under uncultured bacterium. RNAcentral's name for it is "partial 16S ribosomal RNA". It matches the Rfam family "Bacterial small subunit ribosomal RNA", at positions 524 to 776 of the family's 1533-position model. The record is from RNAcentral.